GACGAACGCUGGCGGCGUGCUUAACACAUGCAAGUCGAACGAUGAACCCGGAGCUUGCUCUGGGGGAUUAGUGGCGAACGGGUGAGUAACACGUGAGUAACCUACCCUGGACUCUGGGAUAAGCGUUGGAAACGACGUCUAAUACCGGAUAGGACCUUGGAUCGCAUGAUCUGGGGUGGAAAGUUUUUUCGGUCUGGGAUGGACUCGCGGCCUAUCAGCUUGUUGGUGAGGUAAUGGCUCACCAAGGCGUCGACGGGUAGCCGGCCUGAGAGGGUGACCGGCCACACUGGGACUGAGACACGGCCCAGACUCCUACGGGAGGCAGCAGUGGGGAAUAUUGCACAAUGGGCGAAAGCCUGAUGCAGCAACGCCGCGUGCGGGAUGACGGCCUUCGGGUUGUAAACCGCUUUUAGUAGGGAAGAAGGGCUUCGGCUUGACGGUACCUGCAGAAAAAGGACCGGCUAACUACGUG
RNAcentral lists this ribosomal RNA (472 nucleotides) under uncultured bacterium. Its description in RNAcentral is "partial 16S ribosomal RNA". It matches the Rfam family "Bacterial small subunit ribosomal RNA", at positions 28 to 507 of the family's 1533-position model. The record is from RNAcentral.